CCUAUCUAGUAACCCCGCAACAAGUCAGUACUGAAAAUUGUUCAUCAGAAUAUCAAUCUCUGGAGUAGUAUUUUCUAAAAGCAUGGAGGCCACCAUAGCUUGCUGCUCAUCCGCCAGGGCGUUCCUGCCGGCUGCCGGCGUUGUGAGUCACCAGCAUUCCACUUCACUUUUGGCUCCAUCUUUUAGCUCCAAGGUUAUUAGCAAUUCAUUUCAAUUUAUGCAUGUGUCACACGCGCAACCAUUAUAUUAAUACGCUUGCAAUUUGGUACAAUUUCCUGCCUGUUCUGGAGAUUUGGAUAUUUGGGAUACACACGUAUAACAUAUAGUGAAUAUCAUCGCAUGGUGUAAUUGGAGCUUCAUAGUUCAUAAUUGUGACUGCAGAGCAGGGACGAAGCCAGAACUUUGUGUGAAUGGGGGCAUCCUCAAACAACAAAGCCAGAACUUCUGCAGAACCAGGUCGGAGAGCAGAAUCAGAUCAGUUCAGUGGGGGCUCUGCUACUGCAAACCCAGCUCAAUUUGAGCAGCAUCCCAGCGUCAGAAAAAUCUCAGUGGAGGCAUCCGCCCCCCUAGGCCCAUGGUAGCUCCGUCCUUGCUGCAGAGCCUAAAAUCAAGCUCCCUCUUCGGAGAAUCACUACGACAAGUGCCGCGAUCAUUGCUUAAGGUUUCCAAGACAAAACAGUUUACUCAUGUGACAAAAUGUGCAAUCGGUGAUAGCCUUGUGAUUUUACAGGUCCCAUGACCACAUGGCCAGUUAUGCAGACACAUAUUAUUAUUUCUGACACUGUUACACUCUUAUUUUUCGGCUGUCGUAUCGCAUAAAUUAUUUCAAACAAAAAAUAUUUUACCACGUGUACUUUUGUGCUGUAUGGUCAAAUAUAAUUAACUAUCAAAAUUUUCCGCUUAUAAGUUGCAAGUAAAAAUAAAAAACAUUAUAUCUUAUUUCUAGUGGUAAAAAGAAAGCAAAUUUAAUUGGUGUAGUUCUUCUAACCAUUAAUAAUGUUGCCACAAGCACUACUAUCUAGUGU
RNAcentral lists this long non-coding RNA (1025 nucleotides) under Malus domestica (apple). RNAcentral's name for it is "long non-coding RNA (MDOM_LNC007071)". Lineage: Eukaryota; Viridiplantae; Streptophyta; Magnoliopsida; Rosales; Rosaceae. The record is from RNAcentral.